GGCAAGCGGAUCUCUUAAAGCUGUUCUCAGUUCGGACUGCAGUCUGCAACUCGACUGCACGAAGCUGGAAUCGCUAGUAAUCGCGGAUCAGCACGCCGCGGUGAAUACGUUCCCGGGCCUUGUACGCACCGCCCGUCACACCAUGGAAGUCUGCAAUGCCCGAAGCCGGUGGCCUAACCACUUAUGUGGAAGGAGCCGUCUAAGGCAGGGCAGAUGACUGGGGUGAAGUCGUAACAAGGUAAC
Molecule: ribosomal RNA, 243 nt
Filed under: uncultured bacterium
Lineage: Bacteria
Description: partial 16S ribosomal RNA
Rfam family: Bacterial small subunit ribosomal RNA
Source: RNAcentral